AUGCGGGACUCAUCAGAGGCCUCGCAAUUGGAAUGAGCGCACUUUAAAUCGUUCGACGAGGAUCUAUUGGAGGGCAAGUCUGGUGCCAGCAGCCGCGGUAAUUCCAGCUCCAAUAGCGUAUAUUAAAGUUGUUGCAGUUAAAAAGCUCGUAGUUGGAUCUGGGGUUCGGGUCGGCGGUUUGCCGCUUCGGCGGCUACUGCCGUGCUCGACUCUUACUAGCCGGUGCGUCUUGCGGUGCUCUUCAUCGAGUGCCGUAGGAGCCUGGCAUGUUUACUUUGAAAAAAAUUAGAGUGCUCAAAGCAGGCGAUUCCGCCUGAAUAGUGUUGCAUGGAAUAAUGGAAUAGGACCUCGGUUCUAUUUUGUUGGUUUUCGGAACUUGAGGUAAUGAUUAAGAGGGACGGUCGGGGGCAUUCGUAUUUCGGUGUUAGAGGUGAAAUUCUUGGAUCGCUGAAAGACGGACAAAUGCGAAAGCAUCUGCCAAGAACGUCUCCAUUAAUCAAGAACGAAAGUCAGAGGUUCGAAGACGAUCAGACACCGUCCUAGUUCUGACCAUAAACGAUGCCAACUAGCGAUCCGCAGUGGUUGCUAUAAACGGACUCUGCGAGCAGCUUCCGGGAAACCAAAGUGUUUGGGUUCCGGGGGAAGUAUGGUUGCAAAGCUGAAACUUAAAGGAAUUGACGGAAGGGCACCACCAGGAGUGGAGCCUGCGGCUUAAUUUGACCCAACACGGGGAAACUCACCCGGUCCGGACACUGUAAGGAUUGACAGAUCGAGAGCUCUUUCUUGAUUCGGUGGAUGGUGGUGCAUGGCCGUUCUUAGUUGGUGGAGUGAUUUGUCUGGUUAAUUCCGAUAACGAACGAGACUCUAGCCUGCUAACUAGUUGCGCCGUGUUCAUACGCGGCUGUAGACUUCUUAGAGGGACAGGUGGCGUUUAGCCACACGAAAUUGAGCAAUAACAGGUCUGUGAUGCCCUUAGAUGUCCGGGGCCGCACGCGCGCUACACUGAAGGAGUCAGCGUGUGCUAUCCGGGCUCGGAAGAGUUCGGUAACCCGUUGAAACUCCUUCGUGCUUGGGAUUGUGGCUUGUAAUUAUCGCGCAUGAACGAGGAAUUCCCAGUAAGUGCAAGUCAUCAGCUUGCGCUGACUACGUCCCUGCCCUUUGUACACACCGCCCGUCGCUACUACCGAUUGAAUGGUUUAGCAAGGUACACGGAUUGGUCUUGAUCUUGUACGAAAGUGCGGGAUCUGUGGCC
This 1252-nucleotide ribosomal RNA is filed under the name metagenome. RNAcentral's name for it is "SSU rRNA". It matches the Rfam family "Eukaryotic small subunit ribosomal RNA", at positions 483 to 1748 of the family's 1831-position model. The record is from RNAcentral.